ACAUUGGGAAAGGUGCCGAGACAUGAACUUUGGUCUUCUCUGCAAUCCAUCUGGAGCAUUCACUGACAACAUCGACUUUGAAGUUGCACUGACCUGGCCAGCCCUGCCACUUACCAGGUUGGCAUCUGGCAUCUUUCUUGACAUAUGUAGCAGUUGCUUUUUGACAGCUUGCUUCUUCAGUGAAUGAAUAAAUUAAUAAAGAGAAAUGUGAUGUUCAGUGAUCCAUUUUGCAGAUAACACUAACAAAGUUGACCUUAGAAUUGGAGUGCCUGGGUUAGAACCCUGCUGGUACCACCUGCUUACUGCAUGCUUCUGAUGUGAGUUCAGGAGAAGACACUGGCAAGGACAGCAAAGAACAGGAGAACACUCUAGCUUCCCUGAUAGCAUUCAAGGUGCUGUCCAAACUGACUGUGAUGGCACCCUCCAGACAGACAGCGAUGCCACAUGUUCAAGAUGGCAGAAUCACUAUCAGCUUCAAUUCCUGAAUGACUGCAGAGCAAAAUUUCUUACCUGCAACAUACACUCUAUUUUCAGCCUCCCUGGACUGUUACAUAAUGAUACAUAAAAAUAUUUCUUGUGUUGAGGCAUCCCAAAUUUGAUUUAUUUGUCAUCACAGUCUAUCCUAUGAAUAUAUUUCUGAUCCAAAUAAUGCUAGAUUCAUGAGAGUUUAUAGUCCAGAGAUUUUUUUUUUUUUUUUGAGACAGAAUCUGUCUCCCAGGCUGGGGUGCAGUGGCAUAAUCUUAGCUCACUGCAACCUCUGCCUCCCGGGCUCAAGUGAUCCUCCCUCCUUAGCCUCCAUGAGUAGCUGGGACCACAGGUGUGCACCACCACACCCCGCUAAUUAUUUUGUAUUUUUUGCAGAGGGGGGUUUCACCACAUUGCCCAAGCUGGUCUCAAACUCCUAGACUUAAGGGAUCUGCCUGCCUUGGCCUCCCAAAAUGCUGAAAUUACACUUGUUAGCCAUAGUAAUAGUUCCUAGCCAUAGUCCGGAGAUAUUUUAAAAACUUUAGUGUGAGUUAUUUCUCUUUGCUAUAAUUCUCUCAUGCAUUUUGAAAACCUUUUCUGCCAUACAGUGGUUUUUGGGAAGUCCUUUUGGACAGACAUAUCACAGGAUGGAGAAACUAAAAAGAGAGAAUGCAUUAAAGAAAAAAUAGUACUUCGUAUUUCAGAAAUUACAAAAGGGUGUCAUGCCCCACAGCAUGGUGGGCAGUCAUUUGUAACCCACAGAACAUUGAGUUUCUAAAAUUUGAGUGUUUUUAACUUACGAAGGCCAACUUUACUGAUGAAGUGAUUACCCCAAAUAUGUGAAAUCCAUAUUUCAAGUACAAUAGUAGGAAAUUGGAAAUGGGCUCUUGAGUUUCUGCUUUCAAGUGACCCUCAGAAAUUCCUCCAUUCACUGCAGAGGUUCUGUUUCUCCUUGCUUUGUUCUGACUUUACGGCAGAACUAAGCUAAUGAGUUAGUUACUAUGGGUUAUCACUUGGAUUUGAAGAACCAUCAUUUCUAGGCAUUGCUGCUCAGAGUGGGUCUGCCCUCAGGGGAAGCUGUCUAACCAGAGCCUAACCCACUAGGGUUUUAUCAGAACCUAACUGACCUGAGGAAAAGAAAUACUCAACUCCAGCAAGCUCCAGCCUUCCAAAUGGAGGAGGAGAAAACCCAACUCCAGCCCACUUCAGCUAUCUUGUCCCACAUAAAGGGGAAGUGGAAGAAACCUGAGAAGCAGGCAUGAAGUUCACAGUCCAGAGGUACAGACACAUCAGAGUUCAGUAUCUGAUGAAUUAGAUGCAAAAACCUCAACAAAGUAUUAGCAAAUUGAAUUCAACAAUGUAUGAAAAUUAUUACAUGCCAUGACUAAUUGGAAUUUAUCUCAGGUAUACAAGCCACGCUGAACAUCUGAAAAUCAAUUCAUGUGAUCCAUCACAUUAGCAGACUCAAGAAAAAAAACCACAUUAUCAUAUCAGUAGAUGUAGAAAAAAAAAAUUAACAAAAUCCAGCACCCAUUCACAAUGAAAAUGCCCAGUAAAUUAGAAAUAGAAGGUAACUUCCUCAAAUUGAUAAGGAAUAUCUCUAAAAACCUACAACUAAAAUCAUACUUAAUGGUAGAAAACUAGAAGCCUUCCCAGUAAGAGUAAGAACAAGUCAAAGAUGUAUGCUCUCACCAAUGCUUUUCAACAUCAUAUUGGAAGUCCUAGCUAGUGCAAUAAGCAAAAAAAAAAAAAAA
RNAcentral lists this long non-coding RNA (2219 nucleotides) under Homo sapiens (human). RNAcentral describes it as "cancer susceptibility 19". The record is from RNAcentral. Lineage: Eukaryota; Metazoa; Chordata; Mammalia; Primates; Hominidae.